RNAcentral lists this ribosomal RNA (798 nucleotides) under Cortinarius vanduzerensis. Its description in RNAcentral is "eukaryotic LSU rRNA". The stretch from base 294 to 447 matches the Rfam family "5.8S ribosomal RNA". The record is from RNAcentral. Lineage: Eukaryota; Fungi; Basidiomycota; Agaricomycetes; Agaricales; Cortinariaceae.
AGUAAAGUCGUAACAAGGUUUCCGUAGGUGAACCUGCGGAAGGAUCAUUAUCGAAAUAAACCUGAUGAGUUGCUGCUGGCUCUCUAGAGAGCAUGUGCACACUUGUCGUCUUUAUAUCUCCACCUGUGCACCUAUUGUAGACCUGGAUAACCUUCUGAAUGCGCUAGCAUUUAGGUACGAGGAUUGACUUUCUGCCUCUCCUUACAUUUUCAGGCCUAUGUUCUUUCAUAUAACCUCAAUGUAUGUCAUGGAAUGUAAUACUUAUGGGCUUCUGUGCCCUAUAAACCUUAUACAACUUUCAGCAACGGAUCUCUUGGCUCUCGCAUCGAUGAAGAACGCAGCGAAAUGCGAUAAGUAAUGUGAAUUGCAGAAUUCAGUGAAUCAUCGAAUCUUUGAACGCACCUUGCACUCCUUGGUAUUCCGAGGAGUAUGCCUGUUUGAGUGUCAUUAAUAUAUCAACCUCUCAAGCUUUUGCUUGUGGAGUGUAUGGAUGUGGGGGGAUUAUUUUGCUGGCCUUUUCAUGAGGUCGGCUCCCCUGAAAUGCAUUGGCAGAAUGAUUUGCUGACCGUUUAUUGGUGUGAUAACUAUCUACGCUGUUGACGUGAAGCAAGUUCAGCUUAUAAUGGUCCAUUGACUUGGACAACAUAUUUAUUAAUGUGACCUCAAAUCAGGNAGGACUACCCGCUGAACUUAAGCAUAUCAAUAAGCGGAGGAAAAGAAACUAACAAGGAUUCCCCUAGUAACUGCGAGUGAAGCGGGAAAAGCUCAAAUUUAAAAUCUGUCAGUCUUUGGCUGUCC